Molecule: transfer RNA, 83 nt
Filed under: Bacteroidales bacterium KHT7
Lineage: Bacteria; Pseudomonadati; Bacteroidota; Bacteroidia; Bacteroidales
Also listed under: 1 other name
Rfam family: tRNA
About the family: Transfer RNA (tRNA) molecules are approximately 80 nucleotides in length. Their secondary structure includes four short double-helical elements and three loops (D, anti-codon, and T loops).
Source: Rfam by way of RNAcentral
GGAGAGGUGGCGGAAUGGUAGACGCGCUACUUUGAGGGGGUAGUGGGAGUUGUCCCGUGGGAGUUCGAGUCUCCUUCUCUUCA